GGCCAGUUAGCUCAGUCAGUUGAGUGUGGCGCUAACAACGCCAAGGUCGUGGGUUCGAUUCCCAUACAGUCCC
This 73-nucleotide transfer RNA is filed under the name Apaloderma vittatum (bar-tailed trogon). It matches the Rfam family "tRNA". Rfam says of the family: Transfer RNA (tRNA) molecules are approximately 80 nucleotides in length. Their secondary structure includes four short double-helical elements and three loops (D, anti-codon, and T loops). The record is from Rfam by way of RNAcentral. Lineage: Eukaryota; Metazoa; Chordata; Aves; Trogoniformes; Trogonidae.